UUAAACUGAAGAGUUUGAUCCUGGCUCAGAUUGAACGCUGGCGGCAUGCCU
Molecule: ribosomal RNA, 51 nt
Filed under: Janthinobacterium lividum
Lineage: Bacteria; Pseudomonadati; Pseudomonadota; Betaproteobacteria; Burkholderiales; Oxalobacteraceae
Description: partial 16S rRNA. Bacterial SSU
Source: RNAcentral